CCUACGGGGGGCAGCAGUGGGGAAUAUUGGACAAUGGGGGGAACCCUGAUCCAGCGACGCCGCGUGAGUGAAGAAGUAUUUCGGUAUGUAAAGCUCUAUCAGCAGGGAAGAAAGAAAUGACGGUACCUGACUAAGAAGCCCCGGCUAACUACGUGCCAGCAGCCGCGGUAAUACGUAGGGGGCAAGCGUUAUCCGGAUUUACUGGGUGUAAAGGGAGCGUAGACGGCGAUGCAAGUCUGAAGUGAAAGGCGGGGGCCCAACCCCCGGACUGCUUUGGAAACUGUAUGGCUGGAGUGCAGGAGAGGUAAGUGGAAUUCCUAGUGUAGCGAUGAAAUGCGUAGAGAUUAGGAGGAACACCAGUGGCGAAGGCAGCUUACCAAUCUAUAUCUGACGUUGAGGCACGAAAGCGUGGGGAGCAAACAGGAUUAGAUACCCUUGUAGUC
Molecule: ribosomal RNA, 443 nt
Filed under: uncultured bacterium
Lineage: Bacteria
Description: partial 16S ribosomal RNA
Rfam family: Bacterial small subunit ribosomal RNA
Source: RNAcentral